This 96-nucleotide microRNA precursor is filed under the name Polistes canadensis. RNAcentral's name for it is "microRNA pca-mir-11663 precursor". Lineage: Eukaryota; Metazoa; Arthropoda; Insecta; Hymenoptera; Vespidae. The record is from miRBase by way of RNAcentral.
UUCUAUUUUAUUCAUUGGGAAUAACAGGGAAAUACGUUAUUUCAAUUAGUUUUUCGUUUUCUCUUGUCAUUCCUAAUGGGUAAGAUGGAACAAAAA